ACACCAGUCGAUGCUGCUGGAGGACACUGCUAUCAGAUUUCGACAGCCAUGCAAGUUUGCUCACCGGCUUCGGUGGGCGGCGCACGGCUCAGUAACGCGUACUCAAUCUAACCUAGAGAGGGGCAUAACGUUGGGAAACUGACGCUAAUAUCACAUGGGCCAGGGACUCUGGAAUGGAAUCUUGGCCGAAAUCGCUGUGAAAAAUGCAUCACAGCGGCUCUAGGAUGGGAGUGCGUCGGAUCAGGCAGAUGGCGGGGUAACGGCCCACCAUACCUUUGACCCGUAGGGGCUGUGGAAGCAGAAGCCCCGAGAAGGGCACUGAGACAAGGGCCCUAGCGCUACGGCGUGCAGCAGGCGCGAAACCUCCACAAUGCGCGAAAGCGUGAUGGGGGGAGUCUGAGUGGCGCACUUCGGUGUGCCUUUUGCCAAGUCUAGUUAGCUUGGCGAAUAAGUGCUGGGUAAGACCGGUGGCAGCCGCCACGGUAAUACCGGCGGCACAAGUGGUGUCCGCGAUUAUUGGGCUUAAAGGGCCAGUAGCCUGUUGGAACCGUCCCAAGUGAAAUGUCAGCGCUCAACGUUGACUCGGGCUUGGGAUACCUUCCGACUAGGGAGUGGGAGAGGUCAGGGGUACUUAUGGGGUAGGGGUAAAAUCCUGUAAUCCUAUAAGGACCACCGGUGGCGAAGGCGCCUGACCAGAACACAUCCGACGGUGAGUGGCUAAGGCUAGGAGAACGAAUCGGAUUAGAUACCCGAGUAGCCCUAGCAGUAAAUUAUGCAGACUCAGGUGUUGCACCACUUUUUAGUGGCGCAGUACCGUAGGGAAACUGAUAAGUCUGCCGCCUGGGGAGUACGGCCGCAAGGUUGAAACUUAAAGCAAUUGGCGGGGGAGCACCACAAGGGGUGGAUGCUGCGGUUUAAUUGAAUUCAACGUCCGAAAUAUCACCUGGAGCGACGGCAGGAUGAAGGUCAGACUGAAGAUCUUGCCUAACGAGCCGAGAGGUGGUGCAUGGCGAUCGUCAGCUCGUGGUGUGAACUGUCCGGUUAAGUCCGGUAACGAGCGAGACCCUCAUGAACAGUUGCAACCGUCGAAGAGAUUCGGCGGGCACUCUGUUCGGACCGCCUCCGUUUAAGGAGGAGGAAGGAGAGGGCGACGGUACGUCAGUAUGCCCCGAAUCUCCAGGGCUACACGCGGCAUACAGAGGCUGCUACAAUGGGUUGCGACCCCGAAAGGGGAGGCUAAUCCCCCAAAAGCAGUCAAAGUCCGGAUUGAGGGCUGAAACUCGCCCUCAUGAAGCUGGAAUCCCUAGUAAUCGCGUAUCACUAUUGCGCGGUGAAUGUGUCCCCGCUCCUUGCACACACCGCCUGUCAAGUCACCCAAGCGAGGUUUUAGUGAGGCAGCGCCUACGGCGUUUUCGAACUAAUGCUUUGUGAGGGGGGCUAAGUCAUAACAAGGUAUCCGUAGGGGAACCUGCGGAUAGAUCACCUCGA
Molecule: ribosomal RNA, 1488 nt
Filed under: Microcaldota archaeon
Lineage: Archaea; Nanobdellati; Microcaldota
Description: bacterial SSU rRNA
Rfam family: Archaeal small subunit ribosomal RNA
Source: RNAcentral